ACAAUGUUGGAACUAUCUUGUUGGAAGGAAAACAUGUCGCCCGAACUGCAUUGGUGUGGUUUUUAUGUUGGCUCGUCCCAUGAACCAGAGGUAAAUUUGAUUUUUCUCUUUGUCAAAACGCUCAUUGACCACCUCUUUAGUCCCUUGUACCCUGCAGAUUGAUUUUUGGAUUCAUGAUAUGACGUCUUUUGACUUUAAUAGUUAGGUGUUUUGGCAUCAUUAGACAAUUUGAUGAAUUUUCAAGAAAACACUUUGGACGUAAACUUAGCUCAGUUUGGUUGCUCACCACUAUCUUAUCUUCAGAAACCUAUAACACAACAGUGUCUUUGUCCAGGUCACAUACGAGGAUGGUGUUGAAGUAAACAAACCAUUAUAUAAUUCAUGUUCAAGGAAACACAUAGUUUUUUAAAGAAACAAGCAGUGUGCAAUCUCAAGAACAGAGUAUAUGAGAUAAAACGAACAGAGCAAAAACAGA
This 475-nucleotide long non-coding RNA is filed under the name Brassica napus (rape). RNAcentral's name for it is "long non-coding RNA (BNAP_LNC015795)". The record is from RNAcentral. Lineage: Eukaryota; Viridiplantae; Streptophyta; Magnoliopsida; Brassicales; Brassicaceae.